This 253-nucleotide ribosomal RNA is filed under the name uncultured bacterium. Its description in RNAcentral is "partial 16S ribosomal RNA". It matches the Rfam family "Bacterial small subunit ribosomal RNA", at positions 524 to 776 of the family's 1533-position model. The record is from RNAcentral.
UACGUAGGGUGCAAGCGUUAAUCGGAAUUACUGGGCGUAAAGCGUGCGCAGGCGGUUCGGAAAGAAAGAUGUGAAAUCCCAGGGCUUAACCUUGGAACUGCAUUUUUAACUACCGGGCUAGAGUGUGUCAGAGGGGGGUGGAAUUCCGCGUGUAGCAGUGAAAUGCGUAGAUAUGCGGAGGAACACCGAUGGCGAAGGCAGCCCCCUGGGAUAACACUGACGCUCAUGCACGAAAGCGUGGGGAGCAAACAGG